AGCAUAAAUUUUACUAUGUUACGGCCAUAGUUUCGGUGGCGCUUGUCACCUUAUGCUU
RNAcentral lists this transfer RNA (58 nucleotides) under Spongiobothrium variabile. RNAcentral describes it as "tRNA-Arg". Lineage: Eukaryota; Metazoa; Platyhelminthes; Cestoda; Rhinebothriidea; Rhinebothriidae. The record is from RNAcentral. RNAcentral also lists the same sequence under 1 other name.